Phoenix dactylifera (date palm) is the source of this 318-nucleotide long non-coding RNA. RefSeq lists it as uncharacterized. NCBI's taxonomy places the organism in Eukaryota, Viridiplantae, Streptophyta, Magnoliopsida, Arecales, Arecaceae. The record is from RefSeq and is a predicted model, not a curated record.
CGUCGAUCCGGCCGGGAGGAGCUCGCCGGAGGCAAGGGGAACAAUCUGUUGGACGAGAGGACGUUGAGCAGGAUUCUGUGCAUUCCGGUUCUUUAUCGCCGUGAGGGCGGGUGAUUGGUUGUCUAAAUUUUCAACAAAGAGUUGCAGGAUGCUUAGAUUUGGAUGGGAUGGGCGCAGAGUGCAAGUAUCAGAGUCAUUAGCUAGUUAGUUUGUUGUCCUUUUUUGAUGUCGAUGAACAUUUGAAGAUCUUGUAAUUGAACUAAUUUGUUUAUUUGGACAUGUCGGACUGCUCUAUUUGAAUUACUAGAUUAAUUAUGG